Molecule: ribosomal RNA, 406 nt
Filed under: uncultured bacterium
Lineage: Bacteria
Description: partial 16S ribosomal RNA
Rfam family: Bacterial small subunit ribosomal RNA
Source: RNAcentral
AUUGAACGCUGGCGGCAGGCCUAACACAUGCAAGUCGAACGAGCGGCGGACGGGUGAGUAAUGUCUGGGAAACUGCCUGAUGGAGGGGGAUAACUACUGGAAACGGUAGCUAAUACCGCAUACCAUCGGAUGUGCCCAGAUGGGAUUAGCUAGUAGGUGGGGUAAAGGCUCACCUAGGCGACGAUCCCUAGCUGGUCUGAGAGGAUGACCAGCCACACUGGAACUGAGGCACGGUCCAGACUCCUACGAGAGGCAGCAGUGGGGAAUAUUGUACAAUGGGCGCAAGCCUGAUGCAGCCAUGCCGCGUGUGUGAAGAAGGCCUUGGGGUUGUAAAGGACUUUCAGCGGGGAGGCGUUACCCGCAGAAGAAGCACCGGCUAACUCCGUGCCAGCAGCCGCGGUAAUUC